This 105-nucleotide transfer RNA is filed under the name Lentinula raphanica. It matches the Rfam family "tRNA". Rfam says of the family: Transfer RNA (tRNA) molecules are approximately 80 nucleotides in length. Their secondary structure includes four short double-helical elements and three loops (D, anti-codon, and T loops). The record is from Rfam by way of RNAcentral. Lineage: Eukaryota; Fungi; Basidiomycota; Agaricomycetes; Agaricales; Omphalotaceae.
GGCGCUAUAGCCAAGUGGUUACGGCGACAGAUUAGAAUAACAUCUCAAACGAAAUUUCCAAUCUGUUCCUCUUUGAGGGCGCAGGUUCGAAUCCUGCUGGCGUCG